CAGAGGCUGCUGCGUGUUACUGGUGCGGCUAGCUGCGCGGCGGUUCUGCAUUGUUCCAGUCACUUUGUUACCUGGGAGGUAAUUGGCUGUUAGCAGCAUGGCUAAGCGGUUUUGUUGUGGUCAUACAAUAGGCUAAUUCCGCACGUAUGCGUUAUUAGUGUUUCGCAACGGAAAAAAGGGUCAAAAACAAACUUUGUUGCGACAGACUGUCUACCCUCAGUCAGCGUUAUUUUGUUACCCGAUGUCCAUCUGUAUCCGGUUUAUUACUGAACCAGUACUGUAUCUGUGAUUUGGUGUGGCGGACGGCUGUAUUUCUCCGGAGCUGUAGGCCAAAAGGCAGAGAGGCCUGACUUUCCCUCUCUUUGAGUGUGUUUCUGUGCACCGUGUGCUGUGACCACCGACAGAAAUUUCACUGAGCACUGAGUGUGUUGUGAUUGAGCACAUGCAUGGUGUGGAUAUUUGAACCUACUUCUUUCAGCCUGUCUUGUGCCGAUCAGCUGCA
This is a long non-coding RNA of Tachysurus vachellii, 502 nucleotides long. RefSeq lists it as uncharacterized. The record is from RefSeq and is a predicted model, not a curated record. NCBI's taxonomy places the organism in Eukaryota, Metazoa, Chordata, Actinopteri, Siluriformes, Bagridae. The transcript has 3 exons.